GCAAACUUGGUCAUUUAGAGGAAGUAAAAGUCGUAACAAGGUUUCCGUAGGUGAACCUGCGGAAGGAUCAUUGCCGAACGGACGCGUGCCCAAAGGCCCCUCGCGGGUGCCUCAAGGCCGCGUCUUAUCGCACACCCAUGUGAAUUAGUGAUCGUGACCCUGGACGGUGGGUGCGCUACGUGCACGCUCGCCGAUCCGGCUCCCUUCAAAACAAUCAACAACGAUGAAAACCUCUUGACUGAGACGAAUGGGUCGACGCCUAACAAGCGCCCGACUCGACAAGACAUAACCUAUCACAACUUUUAACAACGGAUAUCUUGGCUCGCGCAUCGAUGAAGAACGCAGC
This 346-nucleotide unclassified non-coding RNA is filed under the name uncultured fungus. RNAcentral describes it as "partial contains small subunit ribosomal RNA, internal transcribed spacer 1, and 5.8S ribosomal RNA". The stretch from base 1 to 73 matches the Rfam family "Eukaryotic small subunit ribosomal RNA", at positions 1759 to 1831 of the family's 1831-position model. The record is from RNAcentral. Lineage: Eukaryota; Fungi.